RNAcentral lists this ribosomal RNA (136 nucleotides) under Cordyceps fumosorosea. RNAcentral's name for it is "5.8S ribosomal RNA". The stretch from base 79 to 136 matches the Rfam family "5.8S ribosomal RNA", at positions 1 to 58 of the family's 154-position model. Lineage: Eukaryota; Fungi; Ascomycota; Sordariomycetes; Hypocreales; Cordycipitaceae. The record is from RNAcentral.
AGGCGGCCGCCGGAGACCCACAAAUUCUGUUUCUAUCAGUCUUUCUGAAUCCGCCGCAAGGCAAAACAAAUGAAUCAAAACUUUCAACAACGGAUCUCUUGGUUCUGGCAUCGAUGAAGAACGCAGCGAAAUGCGA